CAGCAGCCGCGGUAAUACAGAGGGUGCAAGCGUUAAUCGGAAUUACUGGGCGUAAAGCGCGCGUAGGUGGUUUGUUAAGUUGGAUGUGAAAUCCCCGGGCUCAACCUGGGAACUGCAUCCAAAACUGGCAAGCUAGAGUAUGGUAGAGGGUGGUGGAAUUUCCUGUGUAGCGGUGAAAUGCGUAGAUAUAGGAAGGAACACCAGUGGCGAAGGCGACCACCUGGACUGAUACUGACACUGAGGUGCGAAAGCGUGGGGAGCAAACAGGAUUAGAUACCCGGGUAGUCCCUGUCUCUUAUAC
Molecule: ribosomal RNA, 301 nt
Filed under: uncultured bacterium
Lineage: Bacteria
Description: partial 16S ribosomal RNA
Rfam family: Bacterial small subunit ribosomal RNA
Source: RNAcentral